This 141-nucleotide ribosomal RNA is filed under the name Meloe coarctatus. RNAcentral describes it as "partial 12S ribosomal RNA". Lineage: Eukaryota; Metazoa; Arthropoda; Insecta; Coleoptera; Meloidae. The record is from RNAcentral.
CACAAGUUGUGCAUGCUAAAUUUAUUUAAUUUAAUUAAAUGUAUAAUAUUUUAAGUUAUUAAAAAAUUUAUUAGGUGGAAUUUUAAUUUUUUUAUAAUUUAAUUCAGUGUUUUUGAAGUUAGGAAAUUUCAGUAUAGACUA